AUGCACGCUGGCGGCGUGCCUAAUACAUGCAAGUCGAGCGCACAGACGAGGAGCUUGCUCCUCUGACGUUAGCGGCGGACGGGUGAGUAACACGUGGAUAACCUACCUAUAAGACUGGGAUAACUUCGGGAAACCGGAGCUAAUACCGGAUAAUAUAUUGAACCGCAUGGUUCAAUAGUGAAAGACGGUUUUGCUGUCACUUAUAGAUGGAUCCGCGCCGCAUUAGCUAGUUGGUAAGGUAACGGCUUACCAAGGCAACGAUGCGUAGCCGACCUGAGAGGGUGAUCGGCCACACUGGAACUGAGACACGGUCCAGACUCCUACGGGAGGCAGCAGUAGGGAAUCUUCCGCAAUGGGCGAAAGCUUGACGGAGCAACGCCGCGUGAGUGAUGAAGGUCUUCGGAUCGUAAAACUCUGUUAUUAGGGAAGAACAAAUGUGUAAGUAACUAUGCACGUCUUGACGGUACCUAAUCAGAAAGCCACGGCUAACUACGUG
This 496-nucleotide ribosomal RNA is filed under the name uncultured bacterium. RNAcentral's name for it is "partial 16S ribosomal RNA". It matches the Rfam family "Bacterial small subunit ribosomal RNA", at positions 29 to 507 of the family's 1533-position model. The record is from RNAcentral.